GAUGAACGCUAGCGGCAGGCCUAACACAUGCAAGUCGAGGGGCAGCACGGUGUAGCAAUACACUGGUGGCGACCGGCGCACGGGUGCGUAACGCGUAUGCAACCUACCCAUAACAGGGGGAUAACACUGAGAAAUUGGUACUAAUACCCCAUAACAUCAGGACCGGCAUCGGUUUUGGUUGAAAACUCCGGUGGUUAUGGAUGGGCAUGCGUUGUAUUAGCUGGUUGGUGAGGUAACGGCUCACCAAGGCAACGAUACAUAGGGGGACUGAGAGGUUAACCCCCCACAUUGGUACUGAGACACGGACCAAACUCCUACGGGAGGCAGCAGUGAGGAAUAUUGGUCAAUGGACGCAAGUCUGAACCAGCCAUGCCGCGUGCAGGAAGACGGCUCUAUGAGUUGUAAACUGCUUUUGUACGAGGGUAAACGCUCUUACGUGUAAGAGCCUGAAAGUAUCGUACGAAUAAGGAUCGGCUAACUCCGUGCCAGCAGCCGCGGUAAUACGGAGGAUCCAAGCGUUAUCCGGAUUUAUUGGGUUUAAAGGGUGCGUAGGCGGUUUGAUAAGUUAGAGGUGAAAUACCGGUGCUUAACACCGGAACUGCCUCUAAUACUGUUGGACUAGAGAGUAGUUGCGGUAGGCGGAAUGUAUGGUGUAGCGGUGAAAUGCUUAGAGAUCAUACAGAACACCGAUUGCGAAGGCAGCUUACCAAACUAUAUCUGACGUUGAGGCACGAAAGCGUGGGGAGCAAACAGGAUUAGAUACCCUGGUAGUCCACGCAGUAAAUCGAUGAUAACUCGCUGUCGGCGAUACACUGUCGGCGGCUAAGCGAAAGCGAUAAGUUAUCCACCUGGGGAGUACGUUCGCAAGAAUGAAACUCAAAGGAAUUGACG
RNAcentral lists this ribosomal RNA (891 nucleotides) under uncultured bacterium. Its description in RNAcentral is "bacterial SSU rRNA". It matches the Rfam family "Bacterial small subunit ribosomal RNA", at positions 28 to 915 of the family's 1533-position model. The record is from RNAcentral.